CGAUGAANAACGUAGCGAAAUGCGAUACUUGGUGUGAAUUGCANAAUCCCGUGAACCAUCGAGUCUUUGAACGCAAGUUGCGCCUGAAGCCAUUAGGUUGAAGGCACGUCUGCCUGGGCGUCACGCAUUGCGUCACCCACUCCCCCCGUGUCCCNAGUGGGCAC
This 164-nucleotide ribosomal RNA is filed under the name Thibaudia diphylla. RNAcentral describes it as "5.8S ribosomal RNA". The stretch from base 1 to 123 matches the Rfam family "5.8S ribosomal RNA", at positions 34 to 154 of the family's 154-position model. Rfam says of the family: 5.8S ribosomal RNA (5.8S rRNA) is a component of the large subunit of the eukaryotic ribosome. Lineage: Eukaryota; Viridiplantae; Streptophyta; Magnoliopsida; Ericales; Ericaceae. The record is from RNAcentral.